This 914-nucleotide long non-coding RNA is filed under the name Marmota monax (woodchuck). Lineage: Eukaryota; Metazoa; Chordata; Mammalia; Rodentia; Sciuridae. The record is from RNAcentral.
GUUCUUCUCACUAGAGGCAAUCAUUGUUACUGAUAGAUUUUACCAAUUUUAUGAGCUGAUUGUUAUGGCCUGAAUGUGUCUCCUAGAAUUCUAGGUUUGUAUUAGUAAAGGUUCUCUAGAGGAACAGAAUCAACAGGAAGUAUAAUUAUAAAAGGGGGAUUUAUUAUGUUGGCUUAUGUAACCAGAAGCUGGAUAAUCCACAAUGACUGUCUGCAGGCUGAAGCACUGGAAAAACCAGUAGCUGUGCAAUCCAAGAGGCUGAAGCCCCAGAACAAGAGGGCAGUCCUACCCUAGUCUGAGAUCGAAGGCUACUGGAGAAUCACUGGCAGAAUCUGCUUUGGAAGAGUGAAGAAGCAAGAGUCCAAUGUCCUCAGACAAUAGCAGCAGCAAUCAAGAACCUGUUCAAGAAGCAUUGAGCUUGCAUCUGCUGCUGCUUCCUUGUUCUUCCAACUUUUAUUCCAUCCAAGCCAUCAUUAUUGGACAGUGCUGCCAAUGCUUAGGGAGGGUCUCCAUUUCAGUUGACUAUCCCACAUGCAAUCAUUCCUAGACACACCCUCACCAACACACCCGUAAGGCUCUUAAUUGUCAGCACCUCUUAAUCAGAUCACGUUGACAUUCAAAUUGACUCUUGAAACUUUCAAAAUAUGAUAAUAUUCAGAAAUGAAAUCUUCAAAGAGAGAAAGGUUUGUUUUCUUCUGCUCUUUCACUGAGCAGAUAAGGAUACCUGAAGGUGUCUUCUACAAAAACAAACUUUCACAAGACACCAGCCCUACCAGUGCUUUGAUCUUAGACCGCUCAGCCUCUAGAACUGAAACAUUAAUAGUUGCUCUUAUCCAAACUCAAGCAUUUUGAUAAAAUAACACAAAUGACCUAAGACAAUAAUUAUUUCAAAUAUUUUUUAUAUUAUUCUUAAG